AGAGUUUGAUCCUGGCUCAGGAUGAACGCUGGCGGCGUGCUUAACACAUGCAAGUCGAACGAAGCACUUAUCUUUGAUUCUUCGGAUGAAGAGAUUUGUGACUGAGUGGCGGACGGGUGAGUAACGCGUGGGUAACCUGCCUCAUACAGGGGGAUAACAGUUAGAAAUGACUGCUAAUACCGCAUAAGACCACAGAGCCGCAUGGCUCGGUGGGAAAAACUCCGGUGGUAUGAGAUGGACCCGCGUCUGAUUAGGUAGUUGGUGGGGUAACGGCCUACCAAGCCAACGAUCAGUAGCCGACCUGAGAGGGUGACCGGCCACAUUGGGACUGAGACACGGCCCAAACUCCUACGGGAGGCAGCAGUGGGGAAUAUUGCACAAUGGGGGAAACCCUGAUGCAGCGACGCCGCGUGAGCGAAGAAGUAUUUCGGUAUGUAAAGCUCUAUCAGCAGGGAAGAAAAUGACGGUACCUGACUAAGAAGCACCGGCUAAAUACGUGCCAGCAGCCGCGGUAAUACGUAUGGUGCAAGCGUUAUCCGGAUUUACUGGGUGUAAAGGGAGCGUAGACGGCUGUGUAAGUCUGAAGUGAAAGCCCGGGGCUCAACCCCGGGACUGCUUUGGAAACUAUGCAGCUAGAGUGUCGGAGGGGUAAGUGGAAUUCCCAGUGUAGCGGUGAAAUGCGUAGAUAUUGGGAGGAACACCAGUGGCGAAGGCGGCUUACUGGACGAUGACUGACGUUGAGGCUCGAAAGCGUGGGGAGCAAACAGGAUUAGAUACCCUGGUAGUCCACGCCGUAAACGAUGACUACUAGGUGUCGGGGAGCAAAGCUCUUCGGUGCCGCAGCAAACGCAAUAAGUAGUCCACCUGGGGAGUACGUUCGCAAGAAUGAAACUCAAAGGAAUUGACGGGGACCCGCACAAGCGGUGGAGCAUGUGGUUUAAUUCGACGCAACGCGAAGAACCUUACCAAGUCUUGACAUCCCUUGACAGGCAUAGAAAUAUGUUUUCUCUUCGGAGCAAGGAGACAGGUGGUGCAUGGUUGUCGUCAGCUCGUGUCGUGAGAUGUUGGGUUAAGUCCCGCAACGAGCGCAACCCUUAUGGUCAGUUACUACGCAAGAGGACUCUGGCCAGACUGCCGUUGACAAAACGGAGGAAGGUGGGGAUGACGUCAAAUCAUCAUGCCCUUUAUGACUUGGGCUACACACGUACUACAAUGGCGUUAAACAAAGAGAAGCGAGACCGCGAGGUGGAGCAAAACUCAGAAACAACGUCCAGUUCGGACUGCAGGCUGCAAUUCGCCUGCACGAAGUCGGAAUUGCUAGUAAUCGUGGAUCAGCAUGCCACGGUGAAUACGUUCCCGGGCCUUGUACACACCGCCCGUCACACCAUGAGAGCCGGGGGGACCCGAAGUCGGUAGUCUAACCGCAAGGAGGACGCCGCCGAAGGUAAAACUGGUGAUUGGGGUGAAGUCGUAACAAGGUA
RNAcentral lists this ribosomal RNA (1481 nucleotides) under metagenome. RNAcentral describes it as "bacterial SSU rRNA". It matches the Rfam family "Bacterial small subunit ribosomal RNA". The record is from RNAcentral.